This 74-nucleotide transfer RNA is filed under the name Streptomyces phage Coruscant. RNAcentral describes it as "tRNA-Arg". It matches the Rfam family "tRNA". Rfam says of the family: Transfer RNA (tRNA) molecules are approximately 80 nucleotides in length. The record is from RNAcentral. Lineage: Duplodnaviria; Heunggongvirae; Uroviricota; Caudoviricetes; Stanwilliamsviridae.
CUCUCCAUAGGCUAAUCGGAUAAACCGUAGUGCUACGAACGCUAAAUUGUGGGUUCGAGUCCCGCUGGAGAGAC